RNAcentral lists this ribosomal RNA (120 nucleotides) under Misgurnus anguillicaudatus (oriental weatherfish). Lineage: Eukaryota; Metazoa; Chordata; Actinopteri; Cypriniformes; Cobitidae. The record is from RNAcentral.
GCUUACGGCCACACCACCCUGAGCACGCCCGAUCUCGUCCGAUCUCAGAAGCCAAGCAGGGUCGGGCCUGGUUAGUACUUGGAUGGGAGACCGCCUGGGAAUACCAGGUGCUGUAAGCAU